Long non-coding RNA from Urocitellus parryii (Arctic ground squirrel), 5905 nucleotides. RefSeq lists it as uncharacterized. The record is from RefSeq and is a predicted model, not a curated record. Lineage: Eukaryota; Metazoa; Chordata; Mammalia; Rodentia; Sciuridae.
AACCCGGGCCGCACGCAUGCCAGGCGAGCGCUACCGCUUGAGCCACAUCCCCAGCCCCACAUUAUUUCCUUUUCAACCCUCUUCUCCACUCCUGGGUCCAGAAGAAGAGUUCUGUUUGGGGCAYUCUGCUGAGGCUUCUCAUGUCGUCACAGUUGAUCUUCCCACUAAUCCAUGGGGUGAGAACAACGAUCGCUCCCAUAUUUUAGAUAAGGACACCGGCUCARAGACAUGAAGUAACUUGUCCCAAUUCACACAGCCAGGAAAAGGGCUAGUCCRCCACAGUGAAUGCCCAGUACCCACUGACACCUGCCACGCCCUGCUCAGCUCAGAGGGGCCCUCUGGCUCCACGCAGGUGGCUCCUCUCCAUGGAGAACUCUCAGAAACUGGGCUCUCGGGAUGCUGGUCACCUGGGCUUCCCCACUGCACGCCAUGYACCCCAGGACAGCAGCAGCUGGGGAGCCAGAUGUUUCUGGUGUAUAAAGACAGAACAUGGAGAAAGAAGCUGUUUAAUGAUGGCAUCGUGAGUAAGCGUGGGGUCAUUUGAAGAAAUGCAAAGGAGGGCAUUCCCGGUAAGGAGGGCAGCUGGGGCUGUCUUGUGUUGCCUCCGGAGGUCUUGGAACAUGCACGGCUCCUGGUGCUCACUUGACRUCGGCUGCCGUGACUUCAUGGUCUCAUCAAAGAAGCCCGGCCUCUGCGAGAGGGCAGUGUGGAGCAACUUGUGCGGCGCUUUGCCUCGGUGGUGGUGGUGGGGGGUGUAUGCCAAGUCCUCAGCCCAGCGUGAGUGGAAGCAUUAAAGAUUGAUGGCCUCUUCCUUUGAAGUCGUCUUUGUGUGCCUCGCACCACUUGGCCCGCAGCUCUGGCGAUGGCAGGCCGGCCUCCUUCGCCUCCCUGUUUACUAGAUCUCUUCUAGCAGAMCUUUUCUGUCACAGGGGCCACUGUCAAGCUGUCUGUCUGCCCUCCCAGACACCCCAAGCCUUGCUGGACCAGGAAAGGUGUCAGUGGCCAUGGCCACCCGCAUCUGCUGGGAGCCCGGGCAGGGACACCUCCUCAUGCUCCGCUCAGAUGCUCCACUUUCCAGGACAUCAGGCAGGAGAGCGUCUUAGGGAGGCAGCGGGUGAGUGGGCAGGAGCUGGCUGGGAUGGAGCCAGGCCCAGGAUCAAACCCUGCUGGCUGGUCUCCAGCUGUGUGGCUUCCAGCAGGUCCAGAAGUUCUCUCAGCUGCCCUUUCCUCCUUUGUAAAAUGAGGGCAAUGGGCCUGGAGGGAGCUGGUGGGAGGAUUAGAGAUGAUGCGUUUUAGCAGCUUAGCCCAAGAUAGAUGCGAUGGAUCGAACUGUGUCCCUUGAAAUCCACAUGUCCAAGCCCUGGCCCUCACCCUGCUCGUAUCUGGAGAGGAAGCCUUGGGAGGUAAUGGGUUUAGAUGAGGUCACGGAGGGGGAGUUUUCAGAAGAGACCACAGAGCUGCCUCAGUCUCUCCGCAUAAGCACACAGGGAGGAGGAGGCUGUCUGGAGAGCCCCCCACCAGAACCCGACCAUGCUGGUGCCUCRAUCUCAGAUUGCCAGCCUCCAAGCYCAGGAGAGAAGACAUUUCUGUGGUGGAAGGCACACCGUCUGGUGCUCUGUUAUGGCAGCCUGAUUAAGACAGCAAGCAAUCGAUCCCAGAAGGCUGUUAUGAUUAUUGUGGCUAUUUAUAGACGACAGAUGUUUUUUUCCCUGAUGGGUGAUAAGCUUUUGGAAGGCGAGGRCACUGAGACUUUGCUAUAUCUCUGUUCUAGAUCCCCUCAAGGGCCSAGCCCAGGUCACAACCUAGGGUAGAGUCUUCGUAAAUGCUUAUUGAAUGUCUGUCGGAUGAAUAGAUGGAUGGACAGAUAAACUAAAGGAAGGAGAUGGGAAUCUCAAAUACUCUGUCACGUGACCCAAGAGACAUUUCCAUGUGUUUAAGAUCACAGUAACCUAAGAAGUGGCAGCAGGGGCCUAUCUGGGACCCCCUGGACUAAUGGGUAAUAUGCCUUUAGGUGCUGAGGAAUGUCUUAGGAGGACAGAGUCAUCCCUUGGGAGGUCAAGUUCAAAAGGAAGUUGCUCCUGAGAUCUGACAUUCCCACCAUCUUCAAAGUGGAUGGGCCACACUCAGCUCAGGCAAGGUGAAUCGGUUUUCAUUUGUCCUAAGAAGGACCAGAACAGAACUAGGAGAAGAAAAGCAUCGUCUCUCAGAAGUGGGAUUUCUUCUAAACCCCGGGGGCCAGGGCCCCCCCCACACUUUCUUUGGUCACAUGCUGAUCUGAUUUUGAACUCAGGCUUAAUUCGGAGAAGGAGUGGCUCUGAGGGUUUCACCUUAAAACACCAUCCACAAGCAAGGCCCCACCCAYUGCCCUAAUCUCCUGACCACUUCCUCUCCCUCCCAGCUCCUUAAAUUAGGUSCCCUGUGGCAUCAGGCUCCUGAUCCUCAGUUGCAUCCUUCAAACCUCUGCCCAGAGGGACCCAGGUCUGUGUGUCACCUGCUCCUCCCCCAAUGCCCUUCCCAGAGCUCCUGCUCCAGAGGCAGGCAGAGGCAGGGGAGCAGCUAGAGGGAAAAAGCAUACCUAAUAAAACACAAGGCCCUUCGAUGGACCGAGAGGAAAUGGGAUGAAAUCCCUGGACUCAGGAAGUUUUGGGGGGCUCCUCUCCAGCUCACGACCACUGAGAUGUCCUCCUCCUAUUCAUGUGCCCCAAUCCCUCCUGGACAACACCUCUCCCAGCUUCCGGGCCUCCUGGAAGUCUUUUCUGACUGCCCUCCCCACAGAGGCACCUCCUCCCUGUUUCUCUCACACCCCCCCUGAGCCUUCCAGCCCACACAGCYGGCCAGGGCUCGGGUCCUGCCGGGGCCAAAUGGGUGAGAUCCUCCCCAGGACUCCUGGCCCUUGAAAAGCCAUCAAACCAAGCCUGUCUGAGGAGGGGCUGGGGCCUCCCAGGACAGAACUCCCUGAGCCGAGAGUGGUGGGCAAAGCUCCAGGCAGGACACAGGGCCCUGGUGAUGCCUCUGUGCUGCGUCUGCUUCCACAGAGCCCUUGGGAGCCCUGUGCCUGAGGCCUGUUCACACAGUUCAUCGCGUGAGCCCCUGGGGAGGACAGUACAAGGACCAGAGUCCCUAAUGUGGACCAGAAGUAUCAAAAGUAUAAUGUCUUUAACAGUAUUUCUUCAGGGGAAGGGAGAAAAAAAGCGCAUCAAUUUAAAGAAAAAGAUGCAGUGAACAAUUGUACAGGACACGCCUAGGAUGUGGCCAAAAUCUAGCCUGCGUAAUGAAGAGACAGGUGUGUGGAGCUUAGGGCUGCUGGGAAUGUGUACAUGCUUCUGGAAGGGCUAGUUGUAGCCCAGCUUUGCUGUGGACUGACUGUGUGCCUCAUGAGAGAUGGGUCACCUCUCUGAGCCUGUGUCCUUGCUCACGGAGCUCACAGAACCUUGUGGGCUAGGGCGAGAAUUAAAUGCAAUAACGUAUGUGCAUACACCGGACGCAUACAUGGAGGCGGUGGUGUGCACCCUCACCAGAAGCCCUUUGGGGGGCAGGGUGUGCACUGUGUGGUGCCUCUGACCUGCGCAGCAAUAGGAGACAGCUCGUCAUUGAGCAGGCCAGAAUGAAAGGAUCAUGGUGAUUACUCCCCAGCCAAGAGAAUGAUUAUCUGAUGAGCUCUUGGAAAUCCUCGUUGGCCAUCUUCCUCAUUACCAUUCCUCUGGGAAUGAUUGUGGGGGAAUUUGACAACAAGGCUGAAUCCUGCAGAAGAGGUAGUGAUGGAGUUAGGGAAAAAYUACUUUACGACUGCCACUGUCAUUGAUGGAUGGAGUCAUUCACUCAACAAACAUUGACUGAUCAUCUUAGGGCUAAGAACAWGAGGAAGACACCAGGUCUGUCCUCGAGGAGCCCACAGUCCCGUGGCAGAACUGGACAUAAUCCUUCCUCUGUGAUAGCAGCUCUGAGAGAGGGGAGCAGGAAGCAGGCUGGGGACACAGGUGGUGACAAUUUCUAAGCCCUUGGAAUAUGCUGCCUGAUACAAGYGUUUUUCCAUAGCUGGGACUUGGGCCAUACCAAGUCCCACUGCUUAUGUGAACAGUGGGAUUUGUGGGGAGGACCCUGGCCCRUGCCACACAGCUUAACUUCUGGGAUGGGAGUCCGGAGACUGAGUAGCUAAGGYCAUUCACGAGGCACUCUGUUCCUAGGUGAUGACUCUCAGUAAAAACCCCCGAACACAAAGUCUCAUCUCAGAUGAGUUUUCCUGGUGGGCGGUUCUUCAGGUGUUGUCACACGUCAUUGCCUGCAGAAUCAAGCGUGGACUUUGCUGGGGAGGACAGCUGCCAGCUCCCCUGGGCUCUCCUGGACCCUGCUCUAGGUACCCUUUCCCUUCGCUGAUUUGAAUCUUGUCCUUUCACUGUAGUAGACAGAACUGGGAUCAUAACAGCUUCUCUGGGUUCUGUAAGUCCUUCGAAUGAAUCAUUGAGACAACUUGAGGGUGGUCAUGGGUACCCCUGACGCACCUCUGUGUGGUGGCCAUGCUGGAGGGGGUGGGCCAGGACGGAGCUCGCGGAUGACAUGGAGGAUGAACAGGGGUUAAGGCAGGGAAAAAAGGGGCCCAGACCAUUUAUAUGUGGUUAGGUCCUGGYGGGUUUGAGGAUCGAGGAUCAGGGGGGAGAGGAGGCGGGGGAAGGAAGCCAGCUGGGACCAGACCCCACAGGGCUCUAUCAACCACAUGGGGAAAUGGAGUGCGUCUGUUUCCCAAGACACCAGGAGCUUCAUACUGGGCAUCCUGUCCACGUCUACCUGGGUCAGCACUAAAGCAGGUGAGGGAUGAAGGGGACGGACGGGCUGAGAUAACAAGGGGCCUUUGCAGGCACUGAGCGCCCAGACCAAGGCAGGGCUGGUGGGGGGACUAAGCAGGAAGGGAUCUGUGUGCAAGACCCACAGGCGGUGGUCCCAAAGGGAUUUGGUGGGAGACUUGGUGUGGGAGGAAGGGGUGAGGGUGGCAGACAGAGGCCUGRGUGGACAUGAGGUUACUGAUAAGGACCAGACAGUCCAGCGGGUUUAAGCAGAUGGGUUCAGAUUCAGACACUGAAUUUUUGCAAUGUAGGAUAUGCCUGUAGACCACAGUGAGCCCAAGGAAAGUGAUUUAAUUAAAUAGAAGGGAUUGAGGAGGAAUUGGGAGCAAUGACAGAGCUGGGAAGGCCUUCAGGACCCCCGAAAAGACUCCUCCCCAAGGCUCCAACACCUCUCUUCUGCAAGUCCAAGUCCAAGGAUAACCUAGUCACUCCCCAAGARUUGAAGUCACUUUCUCUCCCCUGGAACCCGAGCAGGCUUUUCAUUACCUGAAGCAAYAGUGGGGUCCCGGGACUUCUGAGAUUGCCACCUUGCUCUCAUCUCAGGACACUGGGAGCCAGGCACCAGGGCUCAGGCCACAUGGAGGCCACGUGGAGGCGCUGAGUUUGCCAGCCUCUGCUGCCAAGUGUGUGAGUAAAUGGGUCUCCAGGGAUUCCAGCCCCCGGCCAUGGAGCCUCUGGUGGAGGGUCUUAAGCCAUAGUGCCCCCUUCCUAUUUGUGAAUUGUUGACUGCGCUCAUCUAGUGAGUAGUGGAACUUUGACCCCUAGUGCUUGAACUUUUUUGUAUUUUGGAGGGUGUGUGUAAAAUGUAUCAAUCUUUGAAUUAGAAAAGCAUAUAUAUUGUUAUUAUUUUUUUUAAUGAACCUAGGCUACUGCAGCUUAAUUUGCCAUAAACAAUUUGGGUCCUGGGUGUCUCAUAAGUGUUACUGUGUCCUCUAAAACACUUCUCGGGGGACAAAGGUCAGGAGAGAGGUCCACCAGCCCUUCCCUUGCUGGUAGGCACAGGGUGGGGGCUGGUGGUYGACUCUGGACUUCUGUUUUCCUGUUUGUUCUGUAAUUUUGUCUAAAGC